UUCUAUCACGUUCCCCAUUCGAGGACAUUCCUAUAUGGAAUGUGAUAAGAAUUUUGGCCUCGUAAACCAAAAAAGCAGAGCAGAUCUUCCCAAAGACUGGUUGAAAAUAUUAGAAGAAUCCCGCCAUUCCCCAACUCCAUUUACGGUUAUCGAGGUCAAGCACACCUUUUUCCGCAGCUGGGGAAAAUUUCUUGACAAUAGUUACGCAAAAAAGUCGCCAUUUCCAUCUAGACCAAUCAGAGAAAUUAAGAUAAAUAGAGGACCUUUGAUACAGUAUCGCACUACAUAUAAUUGAUGUUGGGAGUCAGCUUCGCUCCAAGGAAAAAACCGAAAGUCUUCGCGAUUAGCUGUUCGUCAUCUUCAAGACAACGAAUUUAUGCUACCUGAGUUAAGUUAUGAAGGGCAGCUUUCAAUAUCUGCUGAGAAGUUUCGGGACCUGCAGCAUUUAAAAAAGUUUUGCAACAAAGCAGCGCAAGACUUUUUUUCAAACCUGCCGCAUCACUAAUUAACGAAUUGGAAUAUUGUUUGGAGCCUUUCGCACUAACGACGAUCGAGGUUAUGAUUACUGUGAAAGAACAGGCUCAUUUCAAUAAAAUGGACCUCUCUUUCCCCUGUCACUUUUGUACCUGUA
Anthonomus grandis grandis is the source of this 631-nucleotide long non-coding RNA. RefSeq lists it as uncharacterized. The transcript is spliced from 3 exons. The record is from RefSeq and is a predicted model, not a curated record. Lineage: Eukaryota; Metazoa; Arthropoda; Insecta; Coleoptera; Curculionidae.